UGGAUCCAGACUUUGAUUAUGGCUCAGGAUGAACGCUAGCUACAGGCUUAACACAUGCAAGUCGAGGGGCAGCAUUCCAGUUUGCUUGCAAACUGGAGAUGGCGACCGGCGCACGGGUGAGUAACACGUAUCCAACCUGCCGAUAACUCGGGGAUAGCCUUUCGAAAGAAAGAUUAAUACCCGAUGGCAUAAUAGAACCGCAUGGUUUGAUUAUUAAAGAAUUUCGGUUAUCGAUGGGGAUGCGUUCCAUUAGGCAGUUGGUGGGGUAACGGCCCACCAAACCUUCGAUGGAUAGGGGUUCUGAGAGGAAGGUCCCCCACAUUGGAACUGAGACACGGUCCAAACUCCUACGGGAGGCAGCAGUGAGGAAUAUUGGUCAAUGGACGAGAGUCUGAACCAGCCAAGUAGCGUGAAGGAUGACUGCCCUAUGGGUUGUAAACUUCUUUUAUAUGGGAAUAAAGUGGUCCACGUGUGGAUUUUUGUAUGUACCAUAUGAAUAAGGAUCGGCUAACUCCGUGCCAGCAGCCGCGGUAAUACGGAGGAUCCGAGCGUUAUCCGGAUUUAUUGGGUUUAAAGGGAGCGUAGGUGGACAGUUAAGUCAGUUGUGAAAGUUUGCGGCUCAACCGUAAAAUUGCAGUUGAUACUGGCUGUCUUGAGUACAGUAGAGGUGGGCGGAAUUCGUGGUGUAGCGGUGAAAUGCUUAGAUAUCACGAGGAACUCCGAUUGCGAAGGCAGCUCACUGGACUGCAACUGACACUGAUGCUCGAAAGUGUGGGUAUCAAACAGGAUUAGAUACCCUGGUGGUCCACACAGUAAACGAUGAAUACUCGCUGUUUGCGAUAUACAGUAAGCGGCCAAGCGAAAGCAUUAAGUAUUCCACCUGGGGAGUACGCCGGCAACGGUGCAACUCAAAUGAAUUGACGGA
RNAcentral lists this ribosomal RNA (925 nucleotides) under uncultured Bacteroidota bacterium. RNAcentral describes it as "bacterial SSU rRNA". It matches the Rfam family "Bacterial small subunit ribosomal RNA", at positions 1 to 917 of the family's 1533-position model. The record is from RNAcentral. Lineage: Bacteria; Pseudomonadati; Bacteroidota.